AGUUUGAUUAUGGCUCAGAUUGAACGCUGGCGGGAUGCUUUACAUACCGUCGGAGCAGCGGCACGGACUUCGGUCUGGUGGCGAGUGGCGAACGGGUGAGUAAUGUAUCGGAACGUGCCUAGUAGCGGGGGAUAACUACGCGAAAGCGUAGCUAAUACCGCAUACGCCCUUCGGGGGAAAGCGGGGGACCUUCGGGCCUCGCACUAUUAGAGCGGCCACGAUAUCGGAUUGGCUAGUUGGUGGGGUAACGGCUCACCAGGCGACGAUCCGUAGCUGGCACGAGAGGACGACCAGCCACACUGGGACUGAAGACACGGCCCAGACUCCUACAGGAGGCAGCAGUGAAAUUUUGGACAAUGGGGGAAACUAGUCCAGCCAUCCCGCGUGUGCGAUGAAGGCCUUCGGGUUGUAAAGCACUUUUGGCAGGAAAAGCUUGGCGCAGGAUAAUACCCCGUGCAACUGACGGUACCUGCAGAAUAAGCACCGGCUAACUACGUGCCAGCAGCCGCGGUAAUACGUAGGGUGCAAGCGUUAAUCGGAAUUACUGGGCGUAAAGCGUGCGCAGGCGGUUCGGAAGAAGAUGUGAAAUCCCAGAACUUAACGGAACUGCAUUUUUUUAACUACCGAGCUAGAGUGUGUCAGAGAAAUUGGAAUUCCGCGUGUAGCGGUGAAAUGCGUAGAUAUGCGGAGGAACACCGAUGGCGAAGGCAGCCUCCCUGGGAUAACACUGACGCUCAUGCACGAAAACGUAGGGAGCAAACAGGAUUAGAUACCCUGGUAGUCCACGCCCUAAACGAUGUCAACUAGCUGUUAGGCCUUCGGGCAUAAGUGGCUGCGCGUGAAGUUGACCGCCUGGGAAGUACGGUGAAGCAAGAUUAAAACUCAAAGAAAUUGUGGGGACCCGCACAAGCGGUGGAUGAUGUGGAUUAAUUCUAUGCAACGCGAAAACCUUACCUACCCUUGACAUGUCUGGAAUCCCGAAGAGAUUUGGGAGUGCUCGCAAGAGAACCGGAACACAGGUGCUGCAUGUCGUCAGCUCGUGUCGUGAGGAUGUUGGGUUAAGUCCGCAAUGACGCAACCCUUGUCAUUAGUUGCUACGAAAGGGCACUCUAAUGAGACUGCCGGUGACAAACCGGAGGAAGGUGGGGAUGACGUCAAGUCCUCAUGGCCCUUAUGGUGAGGCUUCACCUCGUACAAUGGUCGGGACGGAGAUCAACCCGCGAGAACCAGAAACCCGAUCAUAGUCCGGAUCCCUGCCAGUCUGCAACUCGACUGCGUGAUCAGAAUCUUCUUAGUAAUCGCGGAUCAGCAUGUCGCGGUGAAUACGUUCCGGGUCUUAACACCGCCCGUCACACCAUGGAGUGGGUUUUACCAGUAGUUAGCCUAACCGUAAGGGGAGAGGGCGAUUACCACGGUAGGAUUCAUGACUGGUGAAGUCGUAACAAGGUAA
RNAcentral lists this ribosomal RNA (1450 nucleotides) under uncultured Bordetella sp. Its description in RNAcentral is "partial 16S-23S ribosomal RNA intergenic spacer". It matches the Rfam family "Bacterial small subunit ribosomal RNA". The record is from RNAcentral. Lineage: Bacteria; Pseudomonadati; Pseudomonadota; Betaproteobacteria; Burkholderiales; Alcaligenaceae.